Molecule: ribosomal RNA, 762 nt
Filed under: uncultured fungus
Lineage: Eukaryota; Fungi
Description: eukaryotic LSU rRNA
Rfam family: Eukaryotic large subunit ribosomal RNA
Source: RNAcentral
GAACUUAAGCAUAUCAAUAAGCGGAGGAAAAGAAACCAACAGGGAUUGCCUCAGUAACGGCGAGUGAAGCGGCAACAGCUCAAAUUUGAAAUCUGGCCGCAAGGUCCGAGUUGUAAUUUGUAGAGGAUGCUUUUGGCGAGGUGCCUUCCGAGUUCCCUGGAACGGGACGCCAUAGAGGGUGAGAGCCCCGUACGGUAGGACCACCAAGCCUCUGUAAAGCUCCUUCGACGAGUCGAGUAGUUUGGGAAUGCUGCUCUAAAUGGGAGGUGUACGUCUUCUAAAGCUAAAUACCGGCCAGAGACCGAUAGCGCACAAGUAGAGUGAUCGAAAGAUGAAAAGCACUUUGAAAAGAGGGUUAAAAAGUACGUGAAAUUGUUGAAAGGGAAGCAUUCAUGACCAGACUUGGGCUUGGUUGAACAUCCGGCGUUCUCGCCGGUGCACUCUGCCAGUCCAGGCCAGCAUCAGUUUGCCCCGGGGGAUAAAGGCGGCGGGAAUGUGGCUCCCUUCGGGGAGUGUUAUAGCCCGUCGUGUAAUGCCCUGGGGCGGACUGAGGAACGCGCUUCGGCACGGAUGCUGGCGUAAUGGUCAUCAAUGACCCGUCUUGAAACACGAACCAAGGAGUCGUCUUCGUAUGCGAGUGUUCGGGUGUCAAACCCCUACGCGUAAUGAAAGUGAACGUAGGUGAGAGCUUCGGCGCAUCACCGACCGAUCCUGAUGUUCUCGGAUGGAUUUGAGUAAGAGCAUACGGGGCCGGACCCGAAA